Molecule: non-coding RNA, 1477 nt
Organism: Odocoileus virginianus texanus
Lineage: Eukaryota; Metazoa; Chordata; Mammalia; Artiodactyla; Cervidae
Source: RefSeq, a predicted model, not a curated record
CAGUUCUGCGGGUGGCAGAUCUGGGAGCAUCGGCGCCUGACUCGGCCCAAGAAGGAUGUGUUUCCCCCGGCCUUAUCUCACCCUCCAGACCCACGGACCGCGCGCUCUCUCCGCCCUUUCCCUCCCGGUACUCGCGCCUGUACAGUUGCCUGGCGAUGCACAGCAGGGAAAUUGGUGUGUGAAGUAGUUUGGCGAAAGAGAUCGUAAAAAGCUUUAAAGGAAGUAAAUUUGCAUAACGAUCACUAAAGAUCAACUUUUCGAGGCCGAAAGUACUUCUUGCUGAAACACUAUUAGUGCUCUCCUUACUAUGUUUAAAACACACACACACACAACACACACAAAAACACCUCUGGAAACCUUCCGGACAAACUGUGGCUCCGAAGGCAAUCUGGGGCUCCUUUGUCUUGGCGAUGGCUGCAUCUCGGUAGAAACUGACCUGGACGAGGACAGAAGGAGAGACUUUCAGUACAUGGACCUAAGUAUACUGCUAGCCUCAGCUUCAGUGGAAGAAUUUAAAAGAGACGAGGGAAAUGAUAUUAGACAAAAACCAAACUCAAGCGAUUUUCUUAUUUGAGUUCAAAAUGGGCUGUAAAGCAGCAGAGAAAUCUCUCAGCAUCAGCAACACAUUUGGCCCAGGAACUGCUAACAAACGUACAGCGCAGUGGUGGUUCAAGAAAUUUUACAAAGGAAAUGAGAGUCUUAAAGAUGAGCAGCUCAGUGGCCGGCCAUUGGAAGUUGACAGUGACCAAAUGAGAGGAUCAUUGAAGCUGAUCCUCUUACAACUACACAAGAAGUCGCCAAGGAACUUAACCUUGACCAUUCUACAGUCAUUUGGCAUUUGAAGUAAAUUGGAAAGGUAAGAAAGCUCAUUAAGUGGGUGCCUCAUGAGCUGACCAAAAAUCAGGAAAAUCGUCAUUUUGAAGUGUCAUCUUCUCUUUUUCUACACAACAACAGCAAACCAUUUCUCCUUCCAAUUGUGACAUGCGACAAAAGCGGAUUUUAUACAACAGCUGGCAACAACCAGCUCAGUGGUUGGACUGAGAAAAAGCUCCAGAGCCAAACUUGCACCAAAAGGUGGUCAUGGUCACCAUUUAGUGGUCUACCACCAGUCUUAUCCACUACAGCUUUCUCAAUCCCAGUGAAACCAUUUCAUCUGAAGUAUGCUCGGCAAAUCCAUGAGAUGUAUCAAAAACUGAAAUGCCUGCAGCUGGCGUUGGUCAACAGAAUGGGCCCAGUUCUCCAUGACAACUUCAAUUGCAAGUUGCACAACCAGUGCUUCAAAAAUUGAAUGAACUGUGCUACGGAGUUUUACCUUGUUCGUCUGCCAUAUUCACCUGACCUCUUGCCAACUUACUAUCACUUCUUCAAGGAUCUCGACAGCUUUUUGCAGAGAAAAUGCUCCCACAACAAGCAGGAGGCAGAAAAUGCUUUUUCUAAGAGUUCAUCAAAUCCCAAAGUAUGCACUUUUUAUGCUAUA